GAUGAAGAACGCAGCGAAAUGCGAUACGUAAUGUGAAUUGCAGAAUUCAGUGAAUCAUCGAAUCUUUGAACGCAUAUUGCGCUCUUUGGUAUUCCGAAGAGCAUGCUUGUUUGAGUAUCAGUAAACACCUCAAAGCUUUUGGAUUUUUUAAUCGAAAAGCUUUGGACUUGAGCAAUCCCAACACCAAUCUUUUUGAGAUCGGUGGCGGGUUGCUUGAAAUGCAGGUGCAGCUGGACAUUCUCCUGAGCUAAAAGCAUAUUCAUUUAGUCCCGUCAAACGGAUUAUUACUUUUGCUGCAGCUAACAUAAAGGGAGUUUGACCGUAUUGGCUGGCUGAUGCAGGAUUUCACAAGGGUCGGCAACGAUUCUUGUUAAACUCGAUCUCAAAUCAAGUAAGACUACCCGCUGAACUUAAGCAUAUCAAUAAGCGGAGGA
This 434-nucleotide unclassified non-coding RNA is filed under the name soil metagenome. RNAcentral's name for it is "partial contains 5.8S ribosomal RNA, internal transcribed spacer 2, and large subunit ribosomal RNA". The stretch from base 1 to 120 matches the Rfam family "5.8S ribosomal RNA", at positions 35 to 154 of the family's 154-position model. The record is from RNAcentral.